This 472-nucleotide long non-coding RNA is filed under the name Cyanistes caeruleus (blue tit). RNAcentral's name for it is "lncRNA (ENSCCEG00000007885.1)". Lineage: Eukaryota; Metazoa; Chordata; Aves; Passeriformes; Paridae. The record is from RNAcentral.
CUGGAGCAGGCGCCGGGCGGGCUUUUGGCUCGCGGCGGCGGCUCGCUCUGCCUCGUGAUAUCACUGCCGGAGCUCAAAUCCCGCUUAGCGUUCCCAUCCUCACGCCGUCUGUCUACGCUGGCGGAGGUGGAAUCUUUCUGCAGCAGGCAGGCAGCUCCCUUGAGUAGGCGAGGUUGGAGGAGACAGGGACAGGGUCGAUGUGAAGACCAGUGUGAGGAACGGAACGAAGGAAGCAGGCCCAGUAUGAAAUUAGUCGCUGCUUAUUACGUGCUGCCUCUCUUUCCUGCUCUGGUCUUUGGCACUAGUUAACAUAGCUGCAUUUCAGCAAUUCAGAAGAAUUUUCUCAAUAGCAAACACAAAUUUGACUGAAACUUGGUAAGCUUAGCACUUUAUUUGCAUUUGUUAUUUUGUAAAUUUAGCUGUUUCUUCCUCCCCAUGUAAUUCUCAUCAUGGUAUAGUCAGAAAAUAGGUA